This 501-nucleotide ribosomal RNA is filed under the name uncultured bacterium. Its description in RNAcentral is "partial 16S ribosomal RNA". It matches the Rfam family "Bacterial small subunit ribosomal RNA", at positions 28 to 523 of the family's 1533-position model. The record is from RNAcentral.
GAUGAACGCUAGCGGCAGGCUUAAUACAUGCAAGUCGAGGGGCAGCACAGAUAGCAAUAUUGGGUGGCGACCGGCAAACGGGUGCGGAACACGUACACAACCUUCCUUUUAGUGUGGGAUAGCCCAGAGAAAUUUGGAUUAAUACCACAUAGUAUAUUGGAGUGGCAUCACUUUGAUAUUAAAGAUUUAUCGCUAAAAGAUGGGUGUGCGUAUGAUUAGGUAGUUGGUAGAGGUAACGGCUCACCAAGCCUUCGAUCAUUAACUGGUGUGAGAGCACGACCAGUCACACGGGCACUGGGACACGGGCCCGACUCCUACGGGAGGCAGCAGUAAGGAAUAUUGGUCAAUGGACGGAAGUCUGAACCAGCCAUGCCGCGUGAAGGAUGACGGCCCUCUGGGUUGUAAACUUCUUUUAUGUGGGACGAAAAAGGGCCAUUCUUGGUCAACUGACGGUACCAUAGGAAUAAGCACCGGCUAACUCCGUGCCAGCCGCCGCCGUAA